Molecule: ribosomal RNA, 587 nt
Filed under: Bipolaris sorokiniana
Lineage: Eukaryota; Fungi; Ascomycota; Dothideomycetes; Pleosporales; Pleosporaceae
Description: eukaryotic LSU rRNA
Rfam family: 5.8S ribosomal RNA (bases 204-357)
Source: RNAcentral
CUCCGUAGGGUGAACCUGCGGAGGGAUCAUUACACAACAAAAUAUGAAGGCCUGGCUUCGCGGCCGGCUGAAAUAUUUUUUUCACCCAUGUCUUUUGCGCACUUGUUGUUUCCUGGGCGGGUUCGCCCGCCACCAGGACCAAACCAUAAACCUUUUUUUUAUGCAGUUGCAAUCAGCGUCAGUAAAAACAAUGUAAUUAUUACAACUUUCAACAACGGAUCUCUUGGUUCUGGCAUCGAUGAAGAACGCAGCGAAAUGCGAUACGUAGUGUGAAUUGCAGAAUUCAGUGAAUCAUCGAAUCUUUGAACGCACAUUGCGCCCUUUGGUAUUCCAAAGGGCAUGCCUGUUCGAGCGUCAUUUGUACCUUCAAGCUUUGCUUGGUGUUGGGCGUUUUUUGUCUCCCUCUUUCUGGGAGACUCGCCUUAAAACGAUUGGCAGCCGGCCUACUGGUUUCGGAGCGCAGCACAUAUUUUGCGCUUUGUAUCAGGAGAAAAGGACGGUAAUCCAUCAAGACUCUACAUUUUUAACUUUUGACCUCGGAUCAGGUAGGGAUACCCGCUGAACUUAAGCAUAUCAAUAAGCGGAGG